Molecule: ribosomal RNA, 492 nt
Filed under: uncultured bacterium
Lineage: Bacteria
Description: partial 16S ribosomal RNA
Rfam family: Bacterial small subunit ribosomal RNA
Source: RNAcentral
AGUGAACGCUGGCGGUAGGCCUAACACAUGCAAGUCGAUCGGCAGCACAGUAAGAGCUUGCUCUUACGGGUGGCGAGUGGCGGACGGGUGAGGAAUACAUCGGAAUCUACUUUUUCGUGGGGGAUAACGUAGGGAAACUUACGCUAAUACCGCAUACGACCUACGGGUGAAAGCAGGGGAUCUUCGGACCUUGCGCGAUUGAAUGAGCCGAUGUCGGAUUAGCUAGUUGGCGGGGUAAAGGCCCACCAAGGCGACGAUCCGUAGCUGGUCUGAGAGGAUGAUCAGCCACACUGGAACUGAGACACGGUCCAGACUCCUACGGGAGGCAGCAGUGGGGAAUAUUGGACAAAGGGCGCAAGCCUGAUCCAGCCAUACCGCGUGGGUGAAGAAGGCCUUCGGGUUGUAAAGCCCUUUUGUUGGGAAAGAAAAGCAGCAGGUUAAUACCCCGCUGUUCUGACGGUACCCAAAGAAUAAGCACCGGCUAACUUCGUG